AUGUAUUAAUAGGGGUUUUGAAAGCCUCAAAAGGUAGACUCUACCAGUACAUG
This 53-nucleotide transfer RNA is filed under the name Cernuella virgata. RNAcentral describes it as "tRNA-Ser". Lineage: Eukaryota; Metazoa; Mollusca; Gastropoda; Stylommatophora; Geomitridae. The record is from RNAcentral.